Molecule: ribosomal RNA, 517 nt
Filed under: uncultured bacterium
Lineage: Bacteria
Description: bacterial SSU rRNA
Rfam family: Bacterial small subunit ribosomal RNA
Source: RNAcentral
AGAACUUAGCAGAGAUGCUUUGGUGCCUUCGGGAACUCUGAGACAGGUGCUGCAUGGCUGUCGUCAGCUCGUGUUGUGAAAUGUUGGGUUAAGUCCCGCAACGAGCGCAACCCUUAUCCUUUGUUGCCAGCGGUCCGGCCGGGAACUCAAAGGAGACUGCCAGUGAUAAACUGGAGGAAGGUGGGGAUGACGUCAAGUCAUCAUGGCCCUUACGAGUAGGGCUACACACGUGCUACAAUGGCGCAUACAAAGAGAAGCGACCUCGCGAGAGCAAGCGGACCUCAUAAAGUGCGUCGUAGUCCGGAUUGGAGUCUGCAACUCGACUCCAUGAAGUCGGAAUCGCUAGCAAUCGUAGAUCAGAAUGCUACGGUGAAUACGUUCCCGGGCCUUGUACACACCGCCCGUCACACCAUGGGAGUGGGUUGCAAAAGAAGUAGGUAGCUUAACCUUCGGGAGGGCGCUUACCACUUUGUGAUUCAUGACUGGGGUGAAGUCGUAACAAGGUAGGCGUAGCGAG